Molecule: long non-coding RNA, 726 nt
Organism: Oncorhynchus tshawytscha (Chinook salmon)
Lineage: Eukaryota; Metazoa; Chordata; Actinopteri; Salmoniformes; Salmonidae
Source: Ensembl
GGGGUGUCUGUGGGGUGAGUCUGUGGGGUGUCUGUGGGGUGAGUCUGUGGGGUGUCUGUGGGGUGAGUCUGUGGUGUGAGUCUGUGGUGUGAGUCUGUAGUGAGUCUGUGGUGUGAAUCUGUGGGGUGAAUCUGUGGGGUGAGUCUGUGGGGUGAGUCUGUGUGUGUGGUGGUUACUUGUGGCUCUGUGGUGUGAGUCUGUGGUGAGUCUGUGUAGUGAGUCUGUGGUGUGAGUCUGUGGUGUGAAUCUGUGGUGUGAGUCUGUGGGGUGAGUCUGUAGUGAGUCUGUGUGUGGUGGUUACUUGUGGCUCUGUGGUGUGAGUCUGUAGUGAGUCUGUGGUGUGAGUCUGUGUUGAGUCUGUGGUGUGAGUCUGUAGUGAGUCUGUGGUGUGAGUCUGUGUGUGGUGGUUACUUGUGGCUCUGUGGUGUGAGUCUGUGGUGUGAGUCUGUGGUGUGAGUCUGUGGUGAGUCUGUAGUGAGUCUGUGGUGUGAGUCUGUGUGUGGUGGUUACUUGUGGCUCUGUGGUGUGAGUCUGUGGUGUGAGUCUGUGUGUGUGGUGGUUACUUGUGGCUCUGUGGUGUGAGUCUGUAGUGAGUCUGUGGUGUGAGUCUGUGUGUGGUGGUUACUUGUGGCUCUGUGGUGUGAGUGGUGGUUACUUGUGGCUCUGUGGUGUGAGUCUGUAGUGAGUCUGUGGUGUGAGUCUGUGUGUGUGGUGGUUACUUGUGGC